This 705-nucleotide long non-coding RNA is filed under the name Rattus norvegicus (Norway rat). RNAcentral describes it as "long non-coding RNA NONRATT007400". Lineage: Eukaryota; Metazoa; Chordata; Mammalia; Rodentia; Muridae. The record is from RNAcentral.
GCUGUUGAGUUUGACUGUCCCUCCUUGCCCACCCCAAACUCCAGAACUUGGGGUGCUGACAUAGCUGUGGGAUAAGGCAGGACCAUGGGGAUGUGCACAGCUGUGCUGGGACGGUUGGGACGCAUGCAUGGGAGGUUGGGAAAGCACCAUGUAUACCUGUGUGCUAGGGAGGCUCAGGCUACUGGGACCUGUCCCAUCCCUGUCCCCUGUGAGGUAUAUGGUCAUCCUGGAGGUCUGUGUCGGCCAAUAUUGGCCUCUAUCUAAGCCGUUGAUGCCAAUCAGGCAGAAGUAGCCUGUGUGAAUGUGUGCGCAUGCGUAUGCACAUAUAUGCAUACAUGGGCCAGAGAGAACGGCAGGCCUUUAUCAGCUCAUUGAUCUACACCCAGCUUUCUCCGUGGGUGCAGGGGGAUUUCUCUCAGGUCCUAACGUCCCCACAGCACGUGUUCUUGCCCACUACUCCAUCUUACCAGCCACUGGCAAAGAUCGUGAUCGAGUGGGCCUGGAUGGAUUCUACACAGACCCGGCAUUUUCCAGUGCAGCGCCUCAAAGCUUUUGUGUGUAUUUUCUGUAUUUUGAGACAGGGUCUCUCUCUAUAAGCCCUGGCUGUCCUGGACACCAUAUGACCACCAGCCUCAGACUCAAGAGAGCUGCCUGUCUCUACCACCCGAGGGCUGCGAUUAAAGGCACUCAGGAUUGGCUAAGAAA